GCACAAGAAACUGAAUUGAAAUCUUGAAGUAUAUUCUCCUUGUUAUCCUGUAAACAGUCUUUAUCAGAGUAUUUAAUGAUUUUAUUUUAGCAGGUUUUAGGUGACAGCAGAAAAUAACACCAUCAUCAACUUUGCUGCAUGUUGAUAGUUUUCACAGUUUUAGGAAAGGAAUACCAUGAUUUAUCCACUUGUCUAUGCUUACAUACAUUAUCUGUAGAUGAGGUAGAUAAUUUACAUUACUGCUGAUAGCUAUCAUUUCUGUUAGGUAGUUUGCUGAUCUUAUGUAAUUUCUUAAGAGUAUUGGUUUUACCUAGGCUUCAGCUUUAUAAGCUCAUUUACAUGUUUUAAAACUUCAAACCAAGACUUCUGCUUUUAAGAUAACAGAAUAAAGACAUUUGUGCCCUCUUCUAUCUGAAAUUCCACUGAAAUAACAGAAAAUGAGAGAUAGAGAUGUAAUUACAUUUUCCCUGAGACUAGAAGACUUGUAACCCCAAAUCUAAAUAUUUGGGAAAUGACUGCCAAGUGUAAGCAGGAAUAUGUUAAAGAGGAUCCUUGUAGAAAGCAGUCUUAGAGCUGGAGGAACACAGAGGGAAAGGUUGUUUACAGUGGGAUCUGGAUACUUAGGAAAGCUCUGGGAACCUCCUCGUACUGCUUGGCAAAAUGAACCAGCAAGCAAGAAAAAAAAAAAAAAAAUGAGAUGGCACACAAAUACACUGUCUUUGCAGAUGACACUCUUGCUGAGGCAAAAGAGAGAUUGUGAGUGGCCUUUUGCUACCUGUUUCUGACACUUGGAGAUAGUAAUAUGUAAACACCUUUCUCUCGCUUAUUCUCACACACUCUCUCUUUUUUCACAUUCACUUAUACAAAACAUUUUGUCAGAAAGAGCUUUACUGAAUGCCAGAGAGUACCUCUAGUCUAGAACACAGUUGUUUCUUCCUUUCACAGUACUCCUGCAAAUAACUAAUCCG
Molecule: long non-coding RNA, 968 nt
Filed under: Marmota monax (woodchuck)
Lineage: Eukaryota; Metazoa; Chordata; Mammalia; Rodentia; Sciuridae
Source: RNAcentral